CUCAUCUAUAACCAAAGUAAAGAGAUUGGAGCUCAACGUUGACCCUUGAUGUAGGCAUACUGUCACUAAGAACUCACAUAUCUUUACACCAAUUGUCUUUACACUAGUUAGCACUCCCUCGUACAUAUCCUUUACUAUGUCAAUUACUCACCAACUCUUUUAAGAUCGUAAUAUUGAUAUAUCUCUUUGCUGACUCAGUAGUGGAAUUGAGCUUACCAAAUCCCUUAGGAUCCCAUUAAAUAAUUUUAUUAAUACAUAUUUGCUAACUCAAACUAAGAUCUGAGCUUUGAAUGUUUCUUCCAUAUUAACCCUGUCAAGUGCAUAAAUUCCAACAAAAAAUAUGGGCCCGGAUUUUAUAGUAUUAAUGCGAAUGGGCCAGGCCAGCUCCUUUAUGGGUCUUGUCAGACCGAGCCAAGUCCUGAAUUGAAGGCUCAUCAACU
RNAcentral lists this long non-coding RNA (440 nucleotides) under Amborella trichopoda. RNAcentral describes it as "long non-coding RNA (ATRI_LNC002634)". The record is from RNAcentral. Lineage: Eukaryota; Viridiplantae; Streptophyta; Magnoliopsida; Amborellales; Amborellaceae.